Molecule: ribosomal RNA, 407 nt
Filed under: uncultured bacterium
Lineage: Bacteria
Description: partial 16S ribosomal RNA
Rfam family: Bacterial small subunit ribosomal RNA
Source: RNAcentral
GACGAACGCUGGCGGCGUGCCUAAUACAUGCAAGUCGAACGGCGCGGCGGACGGGUAAGUGAUGCCUAGGUAUCUGCCUGUUAGUGGUGGAUGACGUCCGGAAAUGGGCGCUAAUACCGCAUCCUAUCAGAUGCGCCUAGGUGGGAUUGGCUAGUUGGUGGGGUAAAGGCCUAGCAAGGCGACGAUCCGUAACUGGUCUGAGAGGAUGAUCAGUCACACUGGAACUGAGACACGGUCCAGACUCCUACGGGAGGCAGCAGUGGGGAAUAUUGGACAAUGGGCGAAAGCCUGAUCCAGCCAUGCCGCGUGUGUGAAGAAGGUCUUCGGAUUGUAAAGCACUUUAAGUUGGGAGGCGUUACCAACAGAAUAAGCACCGGCUAACUUCGUGCCAGCAGCCGCGGUAAUAC